CACAAAGGCUUGGUCCUGACUUUACUGUCGGCUCUAGCUAAACUUACACAUGCAAGUAUCCGCACCCCCGUGAGAAUGCCCCCAUUUCCCGCCCGGAAACAAGGAGCCGGUAUCAGGCACGGCUAGCGCCAGCCCACGACACCUUGCUUAGCCACACCCUCAAGGGUCAUCAGCAGUGAUAAACAUUAAGCCAUGAGUGAAAACUUGACUUAGUUAAAGCUAAGAGGGCCGGUAAAACUCGUGCCAGCCACCGCGGUUAUACGAGAGGCCCAAGUUGACAGACAACGGCGUAAAGAGUGGUUAGGGAAAUUUUUAAACUAAAGCCGAACGUCCUCAGAGCUGUUUAACGCUUCCGAGUUAAGAAGCCCCACUACGAAAGUAGCUUUACCCCACCUGACCCCACGAAAGCUGUGAAACAAACUGGGAUUAGAUACCCCACUAUGCUCAGCCCUAAAAUUUGAUAGGCCCCUACACCCCCUAUCCGCCCGGGUACUACGAGCAUCAGCUUGAAACCCAAAGGACUUGGCGGUGCUUCACAUCCGUCUAGAGGAGCCUGUUCUAGAACCGAUAACCCCCGUUAAACCUCACCCUCCCUUGUUAAUACCGCCUAUAUACCGCCGUCGUCAGCCUACCCUGUGAAGGACUAGAAGUGAGCAAAAUUGGUAUAGCCCAAAACGUCAGGUCGAGGUGUAGUGUAUGAGAGGGGAAGAAAUGGGCUACAUUUCCUAAACCAGGAAACACGAAUAAUGAACUGAAAUAAGCGUUAGAAGGUGGAUUUAGCAGUAAGCAGAAAACAGAGUGUUCCGCUGAAGAUACGGCAAUAAAGCACGCACACAUCGCCCGUCACUCUCCCCGAGCCUAUCCUAACAAUUAAUACCUAAAGAACUAUACCUGCAAAGGGGAGACAAGUCGUAACAUGGUAAGCGUACCGGAAGGUGCGCUUG
Molecule: non-coding RNA, 944 nt
Filed under: Acanthochromis polyacanthus (spiny chromis)
Lineage: Eukaryota; Metazoa; Chordata; Actinopteri; Pomacentridae
Description: partial 12S ribosomal RNA
Rfam family: Bacterial small subunit ribosomal RNA
Source: RNAcentral